Passer montanus (Eurasian tree sparrow) is the source of this 2393-nucleotide RNA transcript. It is a transcript of the gene named unc-51 like kinase 3, with no coding region annotated. The record is from RefSeq and is a predicted model, not a curated record. The transcript is spliced from 16 exons. NCBI's taxonomy places the organism in Eukaryota, Metazoa, Chordata, Aves, Passeriformes, Passeridae.
GAAACACGUGUGGGCGUGGUCAUGACUGCUGGGGGCGUGGCCACGGCCGGUGUGGGCGUGGCCCGGGCCGCGGCGCGCCGGGAAGGCGGAAGCGGCUCCCGGGCCCCGAGCGCCGGCCCCGGGGCUCCGCAGGGGCAUGGCCGGGCCCGGCUGGGCCCCGCCGCGCCUCGACGAGUUCAUCCUCACCGAGCCCCUCGGCUCGGGCACCUACGCCACCGUCUACAAGGCCUACAGGAAGAGGGACACGCGUGAGGUGGUGGCCAUCAAGUGUGUCAACAAGAGGAGCCUGAACCGGGCGUCGGUGGAGAACCUGCUGACAGAGAUCGAGAUCCUCAAGACCAUCCGCCACCCCAACAUUGUGGAGCUCAAGGACUUCCAGUGGGACAGUGACCACAUCUACCUGAUCAUGGAGUUCUGCGCCGGGGGGGACCUCUCCCGCUUCAUCCGCACGCGCCGCAUGCUCCCCGAGAAGGUGGCACGCCUCUUCCUGCAGCAGCUCGCCUGCGCCCUGAAGUUCCUCCACGACCACAACAUCUCCCACCUGGACCUGAAGCCGCAGAACAUCCUCCUGAGCGCCCCGGAGAACCCCCAGCUGAAGCUGGCAGAUUUCGGCUUUGCUCAGUACAUGUCGCCGUGGGACGAGAAGCACGUGCUGCGCGGCUCCCCGCUCUACAUGGCCCCCGAGAUGGUGUGUCGGCAGCACUACGACGCCCGCGCGGACCUCUGGUCCGUGGGGGUCAUCCUUUACGAAGCGCUCUUUGGGAAGCCGCCCUUCGCUUCCCGCUCCUUCGCCGAGCUGGAGGAGAAGAUCCGCAGCGACCGGGCUGUGGAGCUUCCCAGCCGGCCCCAGCUCUCUCAGGAAUGCCGGGAUCUCCUGGGACAGCUGCUGGAGAGGGACCCUCGGAAGCGCAUCUCCUUCGAGUGCUUCUUUGCUCACCCCUUCGUGGACAUGGAGCACGUCCCCGGCCCCGAGAGCCUGGGCAAGGCGACCGAGCUGGUGGUGCAGGCGGUGAGGAAGGAUCAGGAGGGAGACGCCGCUGCCGCCUUCUCCCUCUACCGCAAGGCCCUGGAGUAUUUUGUGCCAGCACUGCACUAUGAGAGCGACGUGCGGCGCAAAGAAGCCAUCCGGGCCAAGGUGAGGCAGUACAUCUCCCGAGCAGAGGAGCUGAAGGUGUUGGUCACCUCCAGCAACAAGAACCUCCUGGAGAAAGGAAACCCGGCCAGAGAGCUCCUUAAAGAGAUGGCCAAGGACAAACCUCGGCUCUGCGCGGCGCUGGAAGUGGCUUCAGCUGCCGUCGCCAAGGAGGAGGAAGGCAGGGAUGACAGUGACGCCCUGGAGCUGUACCAGCAGAGCCUGGGGUAGCUGCUGCUGCUCCUGGCCGCGGAGCCGGCGGGGCGGCGGCGGGAGCUGCUCCACGCAGAGAUCCAGACCCUGAUGGCUCGAGCCGAGUACCUGAAGGAUCAGAUCAAGAUGCGGGAGGCACAGUCCAUGGGCAAGGAGGCGCUGGCAGAGUCCGUGCGGAGCGCCUGUACCCUGCAGUGACUCCGGGAGCUGCCCCGGGACGCUGCUCGCUGCCCUGCCAGGAGACACCGCCGAGGCGAGGCUUGGGCUCCCGUCCCCCCCUCCGGGGUGACACCUGGGGGGUCACCCUGGGGCUCCAGCCCCGGGGGGCUCAGCAGGGCCAUCUGCCCCUCUCCCAGGCGCUGGCUCAUUUCCCUGCCAGCCCUGCCUCGACCGUCUGCUGCUGCAGCCUCCCGUGCCACGGCGGGCGGGUUAUUCCACUCUAAUUCCCUCUGCUGGCUCCACGGCGAGGGUAUUUUUAUCCUGGCACUGGGCUCUGGCAGGACAUCCCCCCUUGCUUUUUCGGCUGGGUGGUUCUUCCACCUCCCAAAUUCCGGGGGAGCCCACACGGCCCACACAUCCAGCCGGGAGCUGAGGGUGGGCAGGGAUGCUCCGCUGUGCCUUCCUCGCCCAGCAUCUACCUCUGCACCCACUGCUGCUCGUCCAGCCUCCAUCCAGCAGCCACUGCACUGGCCCAGCCCGGCCAUUCCUCCCUGCCUCUCACUGCUGGAGCCUGGGAAUGAGGCUUUUCCUCCCUGGACCUGGAGCCUGGCGGGUACUGGCUGCCUCAUCAGUGUCACGACCGUGAGCAGCGCUCAGCAGGGCACGAGCAGCAGUCAGCCACCUUCAGGGAGACACUCAGCAUCCUGCCUGCCCUGCUCCACUCCUCAGGGCCCUGGCACCCCAACAUCCAAAUCAUGUUCCCAGGAGUCGUUGUUGCGGGGUGCCGAUGUUGCCUGUCCUGCACAACAAGGUACUUGUCUCAAAAUCUACUGUAUCUCAAGGGAAUGUAAUUUAUUGUCUUUAAUAAACUUCAAUUUUGAUUUCUCCA